GAUGAACGCUAGCUACAGGCUUAACACAUGCAAGUCGAGGGGAAACGACAUCGAAAGCUUGCUUUUGAUGGGCGUCGACCGGCGCACGGGUGAGUAACGCGUAUCCAACCUGCCCACCACUUGGGGAUAACCUUGCGAAAGUAAGACUAAUACCCAAUGAUAUCCCACGAAGGCAUCCGAAUGGGAUUAAAGAUUUAUCGGUGAUGGAUGGGGAUGCGUCUGAUUAGCUUGUUGGCGGGGUAACGGCCCACCAAGGCUACGAUCAGUAGGGGUUCUGAGAGGAAGGUCCCCCACAUUGGAACUGAGACACGGUCCAAACUCCUACGGGAGGCAGCAGUGAGGAAUAUUGGUCAAUGGGCGAGAGCCUGAACCAGCCAAGUAGCGUGCAGGACGACGGCCCUAUGGGUUGUAAACUGCUUUUAUAAGGGAAUAAAGUGAGUCUCGUGAGGCUUUUUGCAUGUACCUUAUGAAUAAGGACCGGCUAAUUCCGUG
Molecule: ribosomal RNA, 492 nt
Filed under: uncultured bacterium
Lineage: Bacteria
Description: bacterial SSU rRNA
Rfam family: Bacterial small subunit ribosomal RNA
Source: RNAcentral